RNAcentral lists this ribosomal RNA (253 nucleotides) under uncultured bacterium. RNAcentral's name for it is "partial 16S ribosomal RNA". It matches the Rfam family "Bacterial small subunit ribosomal RNA", at positions 524 to 776 of the family's 1533-position model. The record is from RNAcentral.
UACGAAGGGUGCAAGCGUUACUCGGAAUUACUGGGCGUAAAGCGUGCGUAGGUGGUUCGUUAAGUCUGCCGUGAAAGCCCCGGGCUCAACCUGGGAAUGGCGGUGGAUACUGGCGGACUAGAGUGCGGUAGAGGGUGGUGGAAUUCCCGGUGUAGCAGUGAAAUGCGUAGAGAUGCGGAGGAACACCGAUGGCGAAGGCAGCCCCCUGGGCCAACACUGACGCUCAGGCACGAAAGCGUGGGGAGCAAACAGG